AUGUGGUCUAAACACCCGGACUAUAUUAAGAUCAUCAAAAUUUGUUGGGAAUCACCUAUAUAUGGUUGUCCCAUGUUCAUUCUUGGAAAAAAGCUAAAGACUCUCAAACAUAAGCUUAAGGAUUGGAACAGGGAAGUUUUUGAAGUCUUCAAUAUGCUUCACCUCAAAUCCUUUGGUGGCAAUAUCGCUAUCAAGAUUGGUUAUUUUGGUUAUAAUAGAGGGGUUAGGCAAGGAAACCUUCUUUCCCCUCUCUUAUUUUGCCUGGAUGAAGAUGUGCUCAAUGACAUAAUGCAUUUCUAUAUGAUUCUCAAUAGGCUUGGGAAACCCUACUUUAAGUUUUGUUAA
This is a non-coding RNA of Vicia faba (fava bean), 345 nucleotides long. Lineage: Eukaryota; Viridiplantae; Streptophyta; Magnoliopsida; Fabales; Fabaceae. The record is from the annotation of a GenBank genome assembly.